RNAcentral lists this ribosomal RNA (505 nucleotides) under uncultured archaeon. Its description in RNAcentral is "bacterial SSU rRNA". It matches the Rfam family "Archaeal small subunit ribosomal RNA", at positions 325 to 832 of the family's 1478-position model. The record is from RNAcentral.
ACGGGGUGCAGCAGGCGCGAAAACUCCGCAAUGCACGAAAGUGUGACGGGGCUACCCCGAGUGCCAUCCGCUGAGGAUGGCUUUUCCUUGGUAUAACUAGCCGAGGGAAUAAGGAGAGGGCAAGACUGGUGUCAGCCGCCGCGGUAAUACCAGCUCUCCGAGUGGUAGGGAUGAUUAUUGGGCUUAAAGCGUCCGUAGCCGGCUUAGCAAGUCUCCUGUUAAAUUCAGCGACCUAAUCGUUGACCCGCGGGAGAUACUACUAAGCUAGGAGGCGGGAGAGGUCGACGGUACUUCUAGGGUAGGGGUGAAAUCCUAUAAUCCUGGGAGGACCACCAGUGGCGAAGGCUGUCGACUAGAACGCGCUCGACGGUGAGGGACGAAAGCUGGGGGAGCGAACCGGAUUAGAUACCCGGGUAGUCCCAGCCGUAAACGAUGCGGGCUAGGUGUUGGGGUGGCUACGUGCCACUUCAGUGCCGCAGGGAAGCCAUUAAGCCCGCCGCCUGGG